CCAAGUGGAGAACUCACCAGCUGGCGUGUGGACGGUCGGAUACUCAGUGCCAGGGCCCGUUUAGACGGCUGGUUUAACGGAUUGGCCUAAAAUGAAUUUUGAGUUAGAGCUUUUGAAAGCUGUAGGUGCACAUAUAGAACUUUCCUCCCGCCCCUCAGUCCUUCUUGGCUACUAAUCCAAGUCAGGUCAGAAGCUCCUUCUGACACUUUUCUUCCAGAAAACAUAUAAAGUUGUAUGUAUUUCCAAGACAUCACUCUGCUGCCUACAUCAACAGUAAAGAAAGAAAUGCAGCCAUAUAUUAGGGUGCAAUAUUGAUCAAGAAGGAGGAUCUUCUUGCAGACAGCUCAAAUAUCACCAUCUCUGUGAAGCCUUCCAGCUCAGCCGCCCCCUCCUUGGUCAAUUAAUCCUUCUGUCUACCAAGUUCUCACAGCACUUUGCAAGCAUUUUUUUUGCUGCUGGAAGAAUGGUCCUUGUUUUAGAGAUCUGCAGAGUCUGUCUUCCUGCCAAAGUACAGACUCACUUAUCAGAAAUAUGAGGGAGUUUGAUCAUAAUUAAGUGAAAUCACCUUAUCUGAAAAGUCAGAACGUGCUUUCAGGGUUGAUGCUGGAGCCAAUAAGAAAUUGCACUUGUUUACAGAAGAAGGAAAGUGGAAUACGGCCUGAGUAUACCUGCUAUGAUUCCAAGUACCAGUAGCAUUUAGCUUGCUGCCUCUCUGACCCAGUUCCAAAGUAAGGAAGAAAUGAAAUUGGUCUAGCUCGGGACAGCCCCCUGGCCCCAUCCAAUCCAAUCCACGAAGAUCCUGUGUGAGAAUUUUUCUCAGAUUUUGAAUUGAAGUGAUUUAGUCAAUUUUAACCCAGGAAAGUCAUUUCCAAGUAGAGCCACCACCCCACCCGAAGCUUCUGGAGGGAGCUGGGAGAGCUGGAGACAGCCACAAUGCCAGAAGCUAGUUUGCAUUACUAAGACCAGAGUUGGGAUUCUCUGCCUUGACUCUCUGUGGCUGGAAGUAGAGGGCAUGGAAGGAGAAAACUUCCCUUGCAUACCUGUCACAGACCAGAUGUUUCACAAAAACAAUCCCAUUUAAUUUUAAUUCGCAUAACCCUCCAAGGUGGCUGUGAUUUCCAUUUUGAAGUUCAAAUAACUGUGGCUAGGAGGGGAGAGGAAACUCCUCGUACAAAGCGACAUACCUAGUUGUGUUGGCACUGACAGCCCUCGCUGCCGUUCAGGGCGCCGUGCAUUUCAUUCACUACGUAAUGCUACUGAGCACCUGCAGUGGGCUGGGCACGGACUCAGGGACUAGGGAUGCAGAGGUGAACAAAGUCUCUGCCCUCAUGCAGUUCCAAGUGGUGGUUUAAACAGCAAUAAAUAAAUAUAUAUGAUGAAACAUGGGGCUUUGGUUUGGGGAAAGGGAAUGAAAGGGGUGGGGGUGGCUAUGUCGCUCUCAAGCAUCUGUCCACUGGCUAGACACCUCUCUCCAGCAACGAGCACCCUGUUACCAAUCUCCUUCCUGCGUGGGAGUGCAUGUGGGCAGCGCCGGUGCACCUGCAUGGUACGGGCUAGGCACGAAGGCGGCGAAAUAGACAAGAGCGAGGAGGAACACGGAGGCAGAGUCAAAUUUGCAAAGCCGGUGUUUUCCUUGGGCUUUGGUCCAUUCCUCUCUUUCAGUUCUUUUUCGACCCCUCAGUGACUUCCCAGCACACCUGGUUUUUCUUAUUUUCAUCUUGACUAUGACUACCUCCUCUGCCUCCCAAGUGACCCUGCCUGGAAGAUGAUGCAUACUGCCCCUCCUCCCCACCAGCUCCUCAGGAGUUGACCAUUUCCUUGUGACCUUGACUUGUCUCCUUCAAAAGGUACACAUUCUGUGUUUCAAUCCUCCAGGGCCUAUUAAGUGACCACAUAGAUAGUGUUUUCCUUACAAAACUAUCUUAUUUUUGCAUUGUAUUUACAUUUUGAUAGGCUGCAAAUAUCUCUCACUGUUGAAGUGCCCCAGGACCUCUUAUCUUUGCUUUUGCCUCCUUGGUGGUCUCAUCCUGUUUCAAGGCUUUAGAUGCAUCUACAAACAGAUGACUCUCAAAAUUCAUAUUCCAUUGUAGACCACCCUCUCUGCCUAUCUGACUUCUAAUAGACAUCUCAGAAUGAGCAUUCUAUGUCCAAAUCUUGGUUUCCAUCUGCAGCCUUUUUCAUCUGAGUCAACCACAACUUCAUUUUUCAGCUGCUCAGGACAACAAAUUUGGGGGCAUCUUCUAUUCUCAUGCCCAGAAGUGGUUGGUUCAGUGUCAAAUAAAUCUAGAAUUCAACUUUUUCUGACCCUUUUCUCUGCUACCACUCUGAUCUAAGCCACCAUCAUCUCCGGGUUUGCUGAUGGGUUUGCUGAUUUCGACAGCCUUCUAACACUUUCUUCUUGCAGUCUACUAACUCAGUAGCCAGAGUGAUCUUGUUAAUAAGUAAAUCAGAUCAUCUCAGUGCUUGGUUUAUACCCUCCAGUGGCUCCCACCUCACUCAGAGGAGUUCAGCUUGAAACUCUGCCCUCUUCCCUGAAAAGAAACCCAAAAUACCAAACAAACACAGCAAGCCCUAUCUCCUCUAGUCUGCCCCUUUAUCACCCCUCCCUCUAAGUAGGAGUGCCAUGUGAUCUGUGACAUUUUCAGGGCCACACCCUGGCUGCAGCUGGAGCUAUCCUCAUGUGGCAGUUUGAAAGUUGGUCAAGGUUAGAUUUGCUAAGAUCUCUGAACUCUUCCUGCUAGCCCUGGAAGAUAAGAACUUCUAGCGACUUUAUCUAAGCAGAGAUUGUCCCCUUUGUCCCCACCCAUACAGGAAUCAGUCUUCUGUUCCCAAACUGUAGCUCAAAGCCCACACCCAUAGGAAGUGCCUGUUUCAGGCAACAUUUAACCUGGCAGCUUUCUUCUUAGCUUUUCAGUGACUUUUUUUCACUCAUUUUUUCCUUUAAGAAAACGAAGUCCAUUUUAAUUUUUUGGGCUUGAUGGAACUAGGACAA
Molecule: non-coding RNA, 2992 nt
Organism: Microcebus murinus (gray mouse lemur)
Lineage: Eukaryota; Metazoa; Chordata; Mammalia; Primates; Cheirogaleidae
Source: RefSeq, a predicted model, not a curated record